RNAcentral lists this ribosomal RNA (439 nucleotides) under uncultured bacterium. RNAcentral describes it as "partial 16S ribosomal RNA". It matches the Rfam family "Bacterial small subunit ribosomal RNA", at positions 339 to 795 of the family's 1533-position model. The record is from RNAcentral.
CUACGGGUCGCACCAGUGAGGAAUAUUGCACAAUGGGGGGAACCCUGAUGCAGCAACGCCGCGUGGAGGAUGACGCAUUUCGGUGUGUAAACUCCUUUUAUAUGUCAAGAAAAUGACGGUAGCAUAUGAAUAAGCACCGGCUAACUCCGUGCCAGCAGCCGCGGUAAUACGGAGGGAGCAAGCGUUAUUCGGAAUCACUGGGCGUAAAGGACGCGUAGGCGGGUUGGAAAGUCAGGUGUGAAAUCCUACAGCUUAACUGUAGAACUGCACUUGAAACUUCUAAUCUAGAGUAUGGGAGGGGGAGAUGGAAUUAGUGGUGUAGGGGUAAAAUCCGUAGAUAUCACUAGGAAUACCUAAAGCGAAGGCGAUCUCCUGGAACAUUACUGACGCUAAGGCGUGAAAGCGUGGGGAGCAAACAGGAUUAGAUACCCGCGUAGUC